Molecule: unclassified non-coding RNA, 308 nt
Filed under: uncultured fungus
Lineage: Eukaryota; Fungi
Description: sequence contains ITS1
Rfam family: 5.8S ribosomal RNA (bases 1-104)
Source: RNAcentral
UAGCUGCGAUAUGUAGCCCGAAUUGCAAACCUGUGGAGGGCUAAAAUUUCGAACGCAAAUGGCGCCGUCGGGUUACUCCCGUCGGCACGUCUGUCUGAGUGUUGGUCUAUCAAUACACACACUAUGUGCCGGUGUGUAGUCAUCAUGUGAGAGGCAUACCCGUGCCUUUCAUUGUCGAACUGUGUGAAUGUGGAGCGUUGGCCGUUGAAAGGCUCUGUUGGCUUAUUGGUUGACUUGGCUGUUUGAUGGUGUUGACGUGAAGCUCAUCUGCUGACCUCAGAUCAGGCGUGACUCCCCGCUGAACUUAA